This 3585-nucleotide long non-coding RNA is filed under the name Marmota monax (woodchuck). The record is from RNAcentral. Lineage: Eukaryota; Metazoa; Chordata; Mammalia; Rodentia; Sciuridae.
GUCUAGGGCUGCAGUUGUUUCUGCCAAGGGAGGAAUCCUGAGUUCUGUGGUUCCAGCUGCUGGGCUCCAGACCAUGCUGAGAGAAAGAAAUUGACGAACAGGAGCAGGAUCCAGGCCUGUCAACCAAAUUAAUGAGGGGCCUUACCAGCAUGAUGAACGUGGCAUGGUGAGAGAACUUGGAAUGUUCAGCCUGGAGAAAAGAUGCGGGGGACAUGUGAGCUGCCACAUGAGGAGGGAUUAGUUUUGCUCUUUGUGGUCGACAAGGAGCCAGUGAUCUGUGGGGGUGAUGUAACCAGCCAAGAGCUUUCAACAGAAGAUGGAACAUCUCCAUGCCCGUGAAGAGAAAUGAACUGCCCAGGAUGGUAAUGAGCUCCUGGUUAAGAUGGAUGUGAAAACAUAGCCUAGUUGACCCUUUGGAUUGAGGCCAUUUUAGAAGGAUUCUAGGAGUUACUUCCAUGCCUGGCACAAAGUAGGUCUGCAAGAAAUGCCUUUGGACUUGUCUGAUAGAUGCAUUGAGUUUGAGGCUGGACUAGAUGCCCUUUGUGAUUCCGUUGGGCUCAGUCCAAUAUUUUUGGAGCAGACUGUCUAUGUGAGGCUCUUUGUCCCUCCAACCUGGAAAUGUUGUCAUUCCCUGGCCUCUGGCCACAGGAAGGGCAGCUCUGGGGUUCUUGCUGCUGAGCUUCCACUGCUCUGCUUUCUCUUGGCUCCCCCAAACCAAGCCCAAAGCCCAUUCACAAACACCCUACAUACUGCCACCUGCAGGGGUCCAGCAUGUAAGGUUGGAGCAGGGGCCCUGGAGGCCCUGGCACUCCAACAGGGGAAAUGGGCCUAUGGCAGGCCAAUUACUGGUAGCUGAUUCUAUUAAGCAGAUAGCUUGCUCCCAGCAAAGCAAUUACACCUAAUCAGCCCCUUGCAACAGUCCAAAGGGACAGCCAUUUGAGCCAGACACAAGCAUGUGCAGGAACAUCAAAGCAGCCUGGGCACACCUGGCAGGCUCAUCUAAGACCAGGGCUGCUCCCCAGGUGGUGACCUUGGCCCUUCCCAGGUUGUGUGGAUCUCAUACCACUGUGGGGCCAGAGCAUUGAGGAAAUAGCAGUGAGGGAGUUCAAAGGCCAGGCUGAGACUUGGCUUUGCCACUAAGGAGCUGAAUUUCAUUGAGGAGGGACUUCUCAGGCCUUUCCUCAGUAUCCAUAUCUGCCAAGUGCAUAGAGUGGACUAGAGAAGAGUCAUUCCUGAAACCCUAGUCUAACCAGUCCAGUGGUUUGGAUUUUCAUUCAGGUUAAAACAUGUCUGAAAUCUCCAAACAUGGAAAUGCAUACUAUUGGGUCUAAUUAUUCAGACUACCUUUGAAAAAAUAAUUGUAAUAAUAUCUGUUAAAACAUAUAGCUGCCUUAUUGAUACUCAGUUUUCCCAUAGAAAUUUUAUGAAAUGUGUGUUCCCCAAGACACCCGGUUUAGUAGCUUCUGGGUCUCAGAUUUGUCAGGGAAGUUAGGUCAUGUUAGAAUAUGAAAAGGUAGGAAGAGGGGUUCUGGAAAUCAGGGACAAGCAAGAUGGAGACAAAUGAGAUACUGGCCAUGGUUGGGGUAUCUGUCAAUGACAAUUCAAAUAGUAUUUUCCUUUUCUAGAGGAAGAACUAUCUGAAAGACUUUUGGAGCUGUCAGUAUGUUAAUUAGGGAUUUUAAACAUCAUUUCUUUCUGGUGCUAAAGUUCUGUGUUCUUUGGGCUGAUACCAAUUAACUGGUGUGACUCAAACUUAUCAUCUGGGCAUCCCAGAGGAAGCAUCCAAAAGGCAAGAGUACCAGCUGUGACCUUGGGUGAGCUAUGGCUUUCUCUGAGCCUCAGGGUCCUCUACUAGGAUCUAAGGAGACAGGAGAGGUCCCCAUAGGACUUCCUCACACCGUGCUUGGGAGACUCCAGUGAGGUGGUGAAUGUGAAAUGAAGAUGUGACUCAUUCCAAGGUGACGAUGUUGUUAGUAGUUGGGGCCCAGGGCCCCUGUCCCUCCUAGCCUUUUUCUCUGUUUUUAUUUUUGUGACUGUGGCUUUGGGAGCAGGGUGGCCUUGCUGGAGCAGACCUUGGGGCCACCUGACUUCCAGCUCCUCUGGCCUUGGUGCUCUCAGAUGGCCGGUGCCUGUGGAAUUAGAUGGGGGCCUUGGUCUGUCUUCUGAGAAGAGCCCUGGCACUGAUUGGCAACCAGUGACCUUGCUGGGCCACAUUCAGCCUUCGGGCCUUUCUGGGGGUUGGGAAGUUUAUGAGAAGCAACCUUGAUUCAGGACUAGGGUUGAGGAGAACAGAUUCUCCAGAUCUGCCUCAGUGCAGAAGAGAAGGAGGGAGGUGGCAUGGGGGAUACCAGAGCCCUGAGGCAGGCCUGGACUGUCCUGUGCCUGAUGUUAACCAUGUGCUCAGAGAGAAGCUAUAGAGAAAAAACACUACUUUAUUCUGCACUUCCUUAUGGGAGUUAUGGGAGAGAACGCUAGCCUGGGAGAGUGUUAGAAAGCCUAGAGUCCCAGCUGAAGCAGUAAGGGACAUGCAAGGUGCAUGGGAGGGGUUUCAGAUGAUGAGAUCAUGGUCUUUCUGGUUUUGCAUGGUCCUCACAGCCAAACCAGCAUUUCAUGUCCUGCAUGAUCUGCCCAGCUCACCUCUCAGGCCUCAUCCCUGUGGCUCCCCUUAGGGGUCUUAGCUCCUGCCAUUCGGUAUUCUUUGCAGUUCCUCCGAAUGCACUAGGCUCUUUCUUGUCUUUAUACCAGAAAUACAAAUAUCAGGGACAUAGAUGAACAGGCUUCAUUCCUAGUUUACAGAUGAGGAAACUGAGGCUCAAAGUGAAGCAACUUGUCUAAGCUCUAACAGUUAAAUAGAUGGAUCCAGGAUUCAAACCCAGAUCAGUCUGCCUUUAAAGUCUGUCCUUUUCCUUCUCUGCCACACUCCCUCUCUAGAAAAUGAUGGAGGUCAGAGCCAGGCAGCAACAGGGAGAGGAGAGCAGACGGUGCUAGCAAUGUUGGGCUGGCUCAUAGAGUUUAGAAUGAAUGAGUCACAUAAAUGAAUGAGUAGCUCAGAGAAGGAGCAGGAUGGGCCAGGACCCUGCACCUGGGCUUACCCUACUCCCUUCGUAUAGGAAACAGGAAGAAACUGUGGACAGGGCCUAGCAACCCUAGCUCAAAAAGGGGCUGGGAGAGAGGACCACCAGUGAACAAGCUAGGGAACCAUUCAUGGUGGCGAUGCAGAAGGGAGGACCAGAGCUGUCCAGGGCCUAGCCCUGACAGGGUACCCAGGCCCCAGCCUAGGCAAGGACCCAGGAGAAUUUCCACAUCUGUGCACAAAGUAAAGAAUGCCUUUGGGAUUUUAAGCUGGGUGCCUGGGAGAAGACUGUUUCCACCAGGGCCUCUGGUGAUCUGAAGGGGAAGGGAUCAGCCGUCGCAUAGAUGAGGGUUGAUCAUGGCAAUGCACGGAGCAUGGGGCAGGGGGUACUGGGCUCUGUAUGUGUAGUUCUCUGAUGCUCCAGAGAUGGUGCUGUCCAAUGAUUCAUGGAAACCACAGCAUGUCAGGGAGAUGGAGGUCAGCUGGGAAACCGCACUCAGGCGGAAGGGCAC